This 497-nucleotide ribosomal RNA is filed under the name uncultured bacterium. RNAcentral's name for it is "partial 16S ribosomal RNA". It matches the Rfam family "Bacterial small subunit ribosomal RNA", at positions 28 to 507 of the family's 1533-position model. The record is from RNAcentral.
GAUGAACGCUGGCGGCGUGCCUAAUACAUGCAAGUCGAGCGAACAGACGAGGAGCUUGCUCCUCUGACGUUAGCGGCGGACGGGUGAGUAACACGUGGAUAACCUACCUAUAAGACUGGGAUAACUUCGGGAAACCGGAGCUAAUACCGGAUAAUAUAUUGAACUGCAUGGUUCAAUAGUGAAAGACGGUUUUGCUGUCACUUAUAGAUGGAUCCGCGCCGCAUUAGCUAGUUGGUAAGGUAACGGCUUACCAAGGCAACGAUGCGUAGCCGACCUGAGAGGGUGAUCGGCCACACUGGAACUGAGACACGGUCCAGACUCCUACGGGAGGCAGCAGUAGGGAAUCUUCCGCAAUGGGCGAAAGCCUGACGGAGCAACGCCGCGUGAAUGAUGAAGGUCUUCGGAUCGUAAAACUCUGUUAUUAGGGAAGAACAAAUGUGUAAGUAACUAUGCAUGUCUUGACGGUACCUAAUCAGAAAGCCACGGCUAACUACGUG